GGCUAAAUACUACCUAGUGACCGAUAGCGUAUAGUACCGUGAGGGAAAGGUGAAAAGAACCCCGGGAGGGGAGUGAAAUAGAACCUGAAACCCUGCACUUACAAGCUGUGGAAGCACAUUUCUUGUGUGACCGCGUACUUUUUGUAGAACGGGCCAACGAGUUACGUUAAGUAGCAAGGUUAAGCACUUAAGGUGCGGAGCCGUAGCGAAAGCGAGUUUUAACUGAGCGUUCAGUUACUUGACGUAGACCCGAAACCGGGCGACCUACCCAUGAGCAGGAUGAAGCGAAAGUAAAAUUUCGUGGAGGUCCGAACCCACGAGCGUUGAAAAGCUCGGGGAUGACUUGUGGGUAGCGGUGAAAUUCCAAUCGAGCCCGGAGAUAGCUGGUUCUCCCCGAAAUAGCUUUAGGGCUAGCCUCAAGGUGAGAGAUACGGAGGUAGAGCACUGAAUGUCCUAGGGGGUAUUGCACCUACCGAAGACUAUCAAAC
RNAcentral lists this ribosomal RNA (488 nucleotides) under Clostridioides difficile. Its description in RNAcentral is "bacterial LSU rRNA". It matches the Rfam family "Bacterial large subunit ribosomal RNA", at positions 464 to 954 of the family's 2925-position model. Lineage: Bacteria; Bacillati; Bacillota; Clostridia; Peptostreptococcales; Peptostreptococcaceae. The record is from RNAcentral.